RNAcentral lists this ribosomal RNA (402 nucleotides) under uncultured bacterium. Its description in RNAcentral is "bacterial SSU rRNA". It matches the Rfam family "Bacterial small subunit ribosomal RNA", at positions 355 to 774 of the family's 1533-position model. The record is from RNAcentral.
UGGGGAAUAUUGCACAAUGGGCGAAAGCCUGAUGCAGCAACGCCGCGUGAGUGAUGAAGGCCUUCGGGUUGUAAAGCUCUGUCUUCUGGGACGAUAAUGACGGUACCAGAGGAGGAAGCCACGGCUAACUACGUGCCAGCAGCCGCGGUAAUACGUAGGGGGCAAGCGUUGUCCGGAUUUACUGGGUGUAAAGGGCGCGCAGGCGGGAUAAAAAGUCAGUGGUGAAAUCCUACAGCUUAACUGUAGAACUGCCUUUGAUACUUUUAUUCUUGAGUUCGGGAGAGNGAGACGGAAUUCCAGGUGUAGUGGUGAAAUACGUAGAUAUCUGGAAGAACACCAGUUGCGAAGGCGGUCUCUUGGUCCGACACUGACGCUGAGGCGCGAAAGCGUGGGGAGCAAACA